AUUGAACGCUGGCGGCAUGCUUAACACACGCAAGUCGAACGGUAACAGGCCCUUCGGGGUGCUGACGAGUGGCGGACGGGUGAGUAAUGCUUAGGAAUCUGCCUAGUAGUGGGGGAUAACCCGGGGAAACUCGGGCUAAUACCGCAUACGCACUACGGUGGAAAGCCGGGGACCGCAAGGCCUGGCGCUAACAGAUGAGCCCAAGUCGGAUUAGCUAGUUGGUAGGGUAACGGCCUACCAAGGCGACGAUCCGUAACUGGUCUGAGAGGACGACCAGUCACACCGGAACUGAGACACGGUCCGGACUCCUACGGGAGGCAGCAGGUGGGGAAUAUUGGACAAUGGGGGAAACCCUGAUCCAGCGACGCCGCGUGGGUGAAGAAGGCCUGCGGGUUGUAAAGCCCUUUCAGUGGGAAGAAAAGCCUCGACCUAACACGUCGGGGUCUUGACGUAACCCAUAGAAGAAGCACCGGCUAACUCUGU
RNAcentral lists this ribosomal RNA (483 nucleotides) under uncultured bacterium. RNAcentral's name for it is "bacterial SSU rRNA". It matches the Rfam family "Bacterial small subunit ribosomal RNA", at positions 29 to 506 of the family's 1533-position model. The record is from RNAcentral.